Molecule: ribosomal RNA, 500 nt
Filed under: uncultured bacterium
Lineage: Bacteria
Description: partial 16S ribosomal RNA
Rfam family: Bacterial small subunit ribosomal RNA
Source: RNAcentral
AUUGAACGCUGGCGGCAUGCUUUACACAUGCAAGUCGAACGGUAACAGGGUGCUUGCACCGCUGACGAGUGGCGAACGGGUGAGUAAUGCGUCGGAACGUGCCGAGUAGUGAGGGAUAACGCAGCGAAGGUUGUGCUAAUACCGCAUACGUACUGAGGUAGAAAGUGGGGGACCUUCGGGCCUCACGCUAUUCGAGCGGCCGACGUCUGAUUAGCUAGUAGGUGAGGUAAAGGCUCACCUAGGCGACGAUCAGUAGCGGGUCUGAGAGGAUGAUCCGCCACACUGGGACUGAGACACGGCCCAGACUCCUACGAGAGGCAGCAGUGGGGAAUUUUGGACAAUGGGCGAAAGCCUGAUCCAGCCAUGCCGCGUGUCUGAAGAAGGCCUUCGGGUUGUAAAGGACUUUUGUCAGGGAGGAAAUCCCUAGUGCUAAUAACACUGGGGGAUGACAGUACCUGAAGAAUAAGCACCGGCUAACUACGUGCCAGCCGCCGCCGUAA